UCAUCUCCUCCCUCUAUUCAUAGAAUCGAGUAGAGUUUUUGGUUUAAGCCUUAAUACCAAAUGCACUGAACUGGGUUUCCUUUAUAUUCCAUCGCAAGUACUUCCAUAUCGAGAUUCCAGACAGAAGGCCUUUUUGUGGGAAUUACUUAUGUAGGGAAUGCAGUGGCAAAAGGAGCUGUUUGUUUGGAUGGAAGCCCCCCAGCUUACCAUUUAGAUGAGGGGUUUGGUACAGGCAUUAAUAGUUGGUUGGUUCACUUUGAGGGAGGAGGAUGGUGCAACAAUGUAACAACUUGCCUGGCCCGCAAGAAUACCCGUUUAGGUUCAUCUAAGCAAAUGGUCACACAACUUGCUUUCUCUGGGAUUUUGAGCAACAGGCGACAAUUUAAUCCAGAUUUCUACAACUGGAAUAGAGUUAAGAUCAGAUACUGUGAUGGGGCG
Molecule: unclassified non-coding RNA, 438 nt
Filed under: Hevea brasiliensis (rubber tree)
Lineage: Eukaryota; Viridiplantae; Streptophyta; Magnoliopsida; Malpighiales; Euphorbiaceae
Source: RNAcentral